This 366-nucleotide RNase P RNA is filed under the name Acinetobacter larvae. RNAcentral's name for it is "Bacterial RNase P class A". It matches the Rfam family "Bacterial RNase P class A". From Rfam's summary of the family: Ribonuclease P (RNase P) is a ubiquitous endoribonuclease, found in archaea, bacteria and eukarya as well as chloroplasts and mitochondria. Its best characterised activity is the generation of mature 5'-ends of tRNAs by cleaving the 5'-leader elements of precursor-tRNAs. Lineage: Bacteria; Pseudomonadati; Pseudomonadota; Gammaproteobacteria; Moraxellales; Moraxellaceae. The record is from Rfam by way of RNAcentral.
GAAGCGGGCUAAACGAUCGCUGCUGUGGAGGUCUUCGUGACUGAAGCAGGGGAGGAAAGUCCGGGCUUCAAAGGGCAAGGUGCCAGAUAACGUCUGGGCGGCGUGAGCCGACGGCUAGUGCAGCAGAGAGUAGACCGCCUUGAUAUGCUUGCAUAUCAGGGUAAGGGUGAAAGGGUGCGGUAAGAGCGCACCGCAUGGCUGGUAACAGUACAUGGCUUGGUAAACCCCACCUGAAGCAAGACCAAAUAGGAAUCCUGAGGUACGGCCCGUACUGGAUUCGGGUAGGUUGCUGGAGCGUACGAGUGAUUGUACGCCUAGAGGAAUGAUCGUUCACGACAGAACCCGGCUUAUCGGCCCACUUCAUUC